AAUUUACAAGAAGCUAAACUAAUCUUAUGAAUGUAUUUGUUCAACAAUCUCACAAUUUCUAGCAAUAAUUUGCCACUUUAUUCUUUUUGUCUCUUUUGACUAACAAAAUAUCUUUUCCAUUUACAUGUACACAACGGAUUUGGAUUCUGUGCAGUUGACUGCACUACAGUCACUAAAUCUGGAUCGUCUGAUCAAGAUCAGACGGCUCAGAUUUUAAGAUUAGAUUCUAAUUAUAAAAUCUGAUCUUAAACUUUGGACUGUCUGAUCUUAAUCAGACGGACUGGACAUGAUCGACUGCACUGCAGUCACUAAAUUGCUGACUGCAUUAAACCCAAAUCCGUACACAACACAAUAUUUUCUUUUUCUUAAAAUAUAAAAACAAAAAAACCACUAAAAUAUAUGCCUCCAUAAAAAAUGGAUCAUCAAAAUGGCAUAAUAUGAGAAGUCUUAGUAUCAU
RNAcentral lists this long non-coding RNA (457 nucleotides) under Trifolium pratense (red clover). RNAcentral describes it as "long non-coding RNA (TPRA_LNC001945)". Lineage: Eukaryota; Viridiplantae; Streptophyta; Magnoliopsida; Fabales; Fabaceae. The record is from RNAcentral.